This is a long non-coding RNA of Erinaceus europaeus (western European hedgehog), 598 nucleotides long. RefSeq lists it as uncharacterized. The record is from RefSeq and is a predicted model, not a curated record. The transcript is spliced from 5 exons. Lineage: Eukaryota; Metazoa; Chordata; Mammalia; Eulipotyphla; Erinaceidae.
UCUCCCUCCCUCCCUCUUUCUCUCUCCUCUGCCACACCCCAUCAGAAUGGGAUUGCAUGUAGCCCCUGGAGCUGAUGACCACUGUAUUUUGGCCACCAGUGAGGCUCAGUCUUUGGUGGAAGCUGUCACCACAGGAGCAGGCUAAGUCCUGUCUUACUAAUUCUGGACACCCUGUAUUAAAAACUAUGCUCAGGUCAUCUUCUUCUGCAGGAGAUACCCCUUUUCACUGCAAGGCAGAACCACCGGCCGCACUGUGUGGCCUCUCUCCGUCGCCUCUGUGGUACAGCACCUGGGUCCCGGAGCCCAGCGCCGCAAAGCACGGCAGAGUAUGCUACCGCCCAACUUCAGGGGUCCAACUUCUCAGCGUGAUGGAGUGAGACCCGUUGCACUUCCUAGACCCCAGCACUCUGUGUCAGAGCUCCCGUCUGGUGGGGUCACACCACUCUCCUCGCCAGGCCUCUCAGUCACAGCCAGCGCAGCCCUUGUGCGACUGUACCGAGAGGUAGCUUCCUUGUUUAUGAACUCUAAACAGUGGCAGCUGGACAUUAUGGCUAGUGCCUCUGCAGUUAUGGCUUCUCCCCUCCUCCUCUUCCUCUCC